GAUGAACGCUGGCGGCGUGCCUAACACAUGCAAGUCGAGCGAACAGAUGAGGAGUUUGCUCCUCUGACGUUAGCGGCGGACGGGUGAGUAACACGGGGAUAACCUACCUAUAAGACUGGGAUAACUUCGGGAAACCGGAUCUAAUACCGGAUAAUAUAUUGAACCGCAUGGUUCAAUAGUGAAAGGCGGUUUUGCUGUCACUUAUAGAUGGAUCCGCGCCGCAUUAGCUAGUUGGUAAGGUAACGGCCUACCAAGGCGACGAUGCGUAGCCGACCUGAGAGGGUGAUCGGCCACACUGGAACUGAGACACGGUCCAGACUCCUACGGGAGGCAGCAGUAGGGAAUCUUCCGCAAUGGGCGAAAGCCUGACGGAGCAACGCCGCGUGAGUGAUGAAGGUCUUCGGAUCGUAAAGCUCUGUUAUUAGGGAGGAACAAAUGUGUAAGUAACUAUGCACGUCUUGACGGUACCUAAUCAGAAAGCCACGGCUAACUACGUG
Molecule: ribosomal RNA, 497 nt
Filed under: uncultured bacterium
Lineage: Bacteria
Description: partial 16S ribosomal RNA
Rfam family: Bacterial small subunit ribosomal RNA
Source: RNAcentral